CGCAUAGGCGGGACCAAAACCUAAUUCUCAUUUAAAAAUUUAAACCCAGUUUUUUCUUGCUACCAUUUCUGUCUCUCUCUCUCUCUCUCUCAAAAUUCUAGAUCUGAUUAUUCUCUAGGUUUAAAUCCUCCCUUAUGAUGCUGAGAUUUUAGUAGAGAGAUGGAAAAUCUGGUGGGAUUCAUCGGCCGUCGAUUUGAGCUUCAGCUGAGUACAAGACUAAAUCAUCAAGGGUAAUAUUCAUUAUAUAGGCUUCAAUCCCACUGUCUUUAACGGCGAAGAUACAUCAGGAUCUGUGUUAGAUGAUAGGAUUGUUGAAUGGAACCAAGAAUCUGUUGUUUGUAAGUUAGAUGGGGUUUUCAGGGAUGUUGCAUUCAUGGUGUUCGAUAGGAAAAGGCAGGGUUAGCGUCGGCACCGCCUUAUCUGUCUCUGGCACCAAAAAUCAAAAACUUGAGUACGACGCCGCGGUUACCGGAUUGAGUUUUGCAUCAGAAUCUUCAAUGGAACCAAUAGAACUUUUUGUAAGAAUAGAUAUACAUAGGUGGCUUUUAAUUUCGUAGUUUUUUUAUUUAUGAUUUAUGCUCCAUUGGGUGUUCUAUCAUUAAAUUUUUUAUAUGCUAUGGACAUGCUUUAAACCUGGAAAACAUACAAUUUUUAACUUUGUAAUGUCUUGUAACAUAUCAUUUUGGGGUGAAUAAGAGCUGAUUGAUCUAAUGGUAAAUUGUGUAUAUGUGUAUACUGAACGACAUGGUAAACUCUCACUAGGUUUGUUAGGGUUUUGGUGUCAAAAUUUGAGUUGAAGUAUGUUUAAUUGGUAAGUUUAUAUUUGUGUGCAUCAUCGAAUUCUUUCCUGACAGCUGCAGUUGAAUCAUCACCUGUAAGCCUGCAUAUAUUGUGCAUGCUACGCCAUUGGUAAUGGCAGAUUCACAUAGUAAGGAUUGGGUUCACGGAACCAUUGAUUUUAAUUUUUUUUACUAGACACGAUGAAUAUUUUUUGAGUGAACCCAUAGUAAUAGGUUCAAAAGUGUUGUAGUAGUAACCCACUUUUCCAUUGGUCCGAAGGUCCCAGGUUCGAUUCAUGCCCCCCCCCCCCCCCCGAUUAUUAAACUUGGACCUUGCUUGCCUAAAGAAAAAGGACAUAUUUAAAUGGGUUUAUUAGUGUCGUCUUGCGAUUUAGUUUUGUGGCAGGUAGUUUUCUUGGGCGAUUGGUUAAUCAGCAAUGGUUUUCAUCUCGUUUGGCUCUCUUCAUUGGGUUUGGGAUGGCAAGGGUCACCAGUUUUUGGUGUGGGUGCAUUUUGGUCAGUUACACGCUUUGGGGAUAUUUGCAUGUGUUUGGUGUGAGUUUAAGUGGGAAUAUUGUUUGGUUUCAGUUUGCAUCAUAUAUAAAGGGUGCUAGGCGGUAUAUAUAUGUUCGUUUUGAGUGGUUUAAUUUGUGUGGUGUUUUUGGAUUUUUUAAUGUUCCACCUCUAUAGUUCUCUGGCAGAGAGCUGGAUUGCUUUCUGUUUAUCAAGUCUUCAUUCCAUUCAGUCUUUUGCUCCAUUGUUUUUGGCGGUACAAAGCAAUUAUAUUCUUCAACCCAUGUGAUAUUAUGGUAUUUUUUUCUCAACAUUGGAUGGGGCUUCGAAUCAGUCUGUAUUUUCUUAAAGCUCUCAUUGCAGUCCACCAAAUUAGGAAAGUUUUUAUUGCUCUUUAGUCUCAACUUGUAUAUUUAAUUUAUUUCGCAGAGUUCCCAGUUCAUUUACAAUUCUGUGACAUUCGCCACAAAACCAGGUAAAUCCUAAUUUUAAUUACCCAGCUUACACGAUUAACAAACUGGUAUUGAUUAUGCCUCAGUUGAAUCCAAAGGCAUGUUAUACAUAGCAUAUGAGAAAAAGGACCAAAAACAGUUACAUUGGGGCCAUUAUGUUCAGAAAACUGCCUAGGUGUCGUAAGCAAACCUAGGAAUACAGAAAUGCUCAAACAUGAUCCGUAAACUAUAACGUAGGAUUAUUGAAGCUUUAUUGGGUAGAAAAUGAGUUAAACAAAACAGUUUCCGGUUAGCGGAACGCCUUUAAUUUUGACGCGCACUGUACAAUCCAAACAUGUGUUGUAACAUCAGUUAAGCCCGAAAAAGACUAAUAUAACCUAAAUGCAAGAUGUUUUGAGUAAUAACGUCCAAGUGUUCGAGCUUUCGCAUCGGUUGGGUUCGUUUUAAUUUUCUACGCAAAAACGCCUAUAAAAAACGCCCCGUUUUAUGAAUUUUUACCGCACCCGGGGAGCGUUUAAAACCCGAUAACGAACCUACGCUUAAAUAUCAGCUUAAUAUUAUACAAAUUCUGGAAAAUGGCAGCUUUGACUAGUCAAAGAAGGACAUAAGGCCCUCCUUGUUGUCCGAUCACGAGCCACAAACCAAACCAACCACACAAGCACCUUAAUCACCUCAUUUUUGGCCAUAAGUUUCACCUACCUGCUGCUAUAUAAUGCUCUUUAAUCAGUUACAACUGAAUUUUUGGACCAAGAUCUCAAGAACAACACAUUUUGGUAAGAUUUCUUUUGAAUUUUUCAUAAAUUUUAUCAUACUAAACCUCUAUUCAUUUGAUCCAAACAAGGCCAAUCCCAUGGCCAUAAUUUCAGUUUUUAUACCAUAUUUCUUCAGAUAAGCUUUUACAACUGAUUUGGAUAAAAAAAUGAUUAGUUUUGGAUAAAAACGACACUUAUUCGACACCGAAAUCGCCUAACGAAAACUAAUAGAACAAGACUACUAAAGGGGCUUAAUUGAUUAUUUCAGUUGCAUGGUUGUGUUGUACAUGUUAUGUAGGUGCUAUAACCAAAAAAUCUUUGCAAAUGGAUCUUGGAAUCUAGGUCUAACGAGUGAUACGCGGAAAGGUGUGGAGUAGCAUACUUUGAUAGCUUAGUAACCAUGCAAUCUGUGAGUUUCACUAACCCUCUCUUUUUAAUACAUGUUUUACUGUUUUCAUAGAGGGUUCAUUUGAUUAGCAUACCUGUGCACAUGUAAACUGUUUUAUGUUAUUUAUCUUAGUAGACACCUAACAUGCUUAAAUCCCCACAAGCAAGUUAUAAAAUGCCGGUGAAUACUGUGGAUAGUACUAUUUGGCCCGACAAGCCUAGACUGCACUGAAUACAAGGCUAUAUGCCAGUUGCGCAAACACGCGGUCGCACAUAUUCAUAACGAGCUAUGAUUUGUUAGGCAUAGCCACAUGGCGUACUUGGUUAUUGGUUGUGGUUGAUGUUGGCCACGGUGAUUGGAUACUGGUCUCGGCUUAACUUGUAACUCAGAGAGAUUUCAUCACAUGUGCAACAAAACAUUUUCAAAUAUAUUUUGAAAACAAACAAACUUGUGGAACUCACCAACUUUUUGUUGAUGUUUUUCUUUUAAAAAAUAACUUUCAGGACACUACGUGACGACCCCCUUUGUGUUAGUUGCUUGUGAAGUUUAUGUGCGAUACUAUGUGCAUAGAGGCAUGCUACUUAGCUAAAUAAAAUAGUUCAUGGAAACUCGCGUAGUAUCUAGCUAAAAUAUGUAACAGUAAUGUGUAAUAGCGAUACGUAAAGUAAAAAAAUGAUGUAUCAUAUUGUUUAAUUAAUGUUUAAUAGAGUAUCCUUAUAACAAUGACUCAAACCAGAAGUGUCUGUUGCAUCCCUUUUUAUCGUUUCCGCUGCUAGUCGGGGUGUGACAGAAGAUGGUAUCAGAGCCAUUAUUUAUAGAGAACUAGGUUGUCAUUAGAAAACCUAGACUAUAAUCAUUAGCUCAAAAAUUGGCCAUAACCAAUUAAAAUGCUUAUUAGUGUGAUUAUUAUUGGGAUGAUCUGGUCGAGCAAAUAAAUUAUUACGGUCCGGAACGUAAUAACUUAUCUGCUUGUACUUGAGAGUUCCAAGAACGUCACUAAGAGAGGAGUAUUAGAUAAUGUGAAUUUGCGUAUGCAUAUACGUGAAUCUGAUUGUUUGUGUGAAUGUGCAUACUUGUAUAAAACUAUUAAUUGUUUUAGUUGUUAGAAUUUGUCGUCAUUGGUGUCCUUUCGCAGAUAUCAUGUCUGACAGUCGUAGUAGAUCUGAGGAUGAGCCAAUGUUGGAUCCGGAACAGGAGGAAGGCGAUGAGGAGGAGGGUGAUCAGGUUGUCCCUAGAUAAUCUCCGGAUUUAUCCAGAUAUGUGUGUGGUUCUCCACCUCCCCGACACCCACCUGUUACAGGACAGUCUUGUUAUACCCAUGAUGUUAGUGAUGACAUAGUUUCCCAUGAGGAUACCAGUAGUGAGCGUACACUGAGUCACGCACAUAGGUCACCUCCACCUAGAGAACCCACUCCACCACGUAGGUAUUUUCGUCACACUGCACGUCGUAGGGUUCCUACACCUAACCCUGCAUUCUCAACACCCCCACGUACCUAUGAGAGAGGAGAGCCAUCCUAUGUAGCUCGAGGUAUCCCUGUCCCACCGAGAGGUAGAGCUCCUACGCCACCUAGGAUUGAAUGGUUAGGUUUCCUGUUCGAUCGAGUGGUAGAGAACACCAUAGCUCUGACUGAUGAAAUACACCGUAUUAAUGAGAUCUACGAUUACAUUAUAGCUAUGCAGCAAGCAGUUAUAUUAAUGCAUCAGUCUAUGUCAUAUUUAGUUUAUCGCGAUGGUCGUAGAGGGGGCAGAUGCAGCUUUGCAUGGGUGUACUGGCGAUUGUAGUGAUACUGGUAAUGUGGCUGAUUAUGCGUACGUGAGGACAGUAGACAGUGAUAGCAUAUGUAUAUAUAUAUCUUUUGCACCCUUUCAAGAACUAGGCCUGCAUGCCUAUGUCGAGAUUGGGGAUACUAUAUAUAUUAUAUUUCUUUUCGGAUCUUAGUGAUCCUUGUAUGUACGAUGCCUUAGUGGCUAGCUUUUGUUUGCAAUCCUUAGUGGAUUACGGUUGUAUACCGAAUUUUGUCAUGUACAAUGGCUGGUAUGUAUGAUAGUGGUUUCUUUUAUGUGUUAUAUAUAUAUAUGUGUGUUGUUGCUAUGUUUUGGAUGCACAUGUUUGCUAUGUUUUGGAUGCACAUGGUUGCUGAUGUGUGUAAAAUGCAACAUAUAAAAUACAUCAAAUAAGGCAUAAAACUAACCCUUUUUAAGUACUAAUGUUGGAAAAAGAGUGCUUUUGUCUUCCUUUUGU
Helianthus annuus (common sunflower) is the source of this 5126-nucleotide long non-coding RNA. RefSeq lists it as uncharacterized. NCBI's taxonomy places the organism in Eukaryota, Viridiplantae, Streptophyta, Magnoliopsida, Asterales, Asteraceae. The transcript is spliced from 5 exons. The record is from RefSeq and is a predicted model, not a curated record.